GAAAUGAGCUCUGAAUGCCUUUUUCCUAGAGCCUGAGCCCUGGAACCUGUAGCCAACAGGAAGUAAUAGUGUCUGACCUUAGCAAUGCCUGCAAGGUACUGAGCAGUAAAGACUUAACCUCUUUAAGAUGCAAAGUUGGAAGGAGCUGGAAGCCUGCUGGAUAAUUCAUAGACAAACCUAUACAAAGCCUUUUUACAACAAAGACAGGACCAAUGUAUUGAUUUGCCCAUGAGUUGGAUUGAAGGGAGAUGGAGUUGCACAAAGAUGUCAGCCUCACUGUCUCUUCAGAAGCCAUUGAAAUCCAGUGGCAAGACAAAAGUCAGGAUGACUGGCGAUGACCCAGGAUGCAAUGGAUGACCUUGGCAUCUUCGGGGUUUGACUGAGCUCUAAGGGCUCCACAGUGCCUGCUUCAGCCUCCUUCGUGGCCAUCGGAACAAACUGUGCUCAUCUGCUUGUUCCACCAGCAGGGAGGGAUGUCUUCACAUGCUUGGAGUAAAUACCCCCUACCUCACCAACAGGCAUGCCCCUCAAUCUGGCUUAGCCCCUGCGGUGAGAUGGUUCUACCAGGGUGUGGCCACUGUGCAUGCAGCAUUUGGAACCACAGGUUCCAAGGUGGAUGAGCAUCCCUGAAAAUGGCUCAGCAAGCCAUCACAGAAGAGGUGCUAGUCCUCCCUAAGCACCCCAUACACCCCAGAAGUGCUAGACAAGCCCCUACAUGUAACAGUCUCCCAGAAAUCUUAGUGCAGAUUUAAGCUUUAAUAGCUUAAUAAUGCACUGUUUUGUUAGAUAAUAAAGCAGAAUGGGACAUUCCA
Non-coding RNA from Phascolarctos cinereus (koala), 812 nucleotides. Lineage: Eukaryota; Metazoa; Chordata; Mammalia; Diprotodontia; Phascolarctidae. The record is from RefSeq and is a predicted model, not a curated record.